This is a non-coding RNA of Podarcis lilfordi (Lilford's wall lizard), 77 nucleotides long. The record is from the annotation of a GenBank genome assembly. NCBI's taxonomy places the organism in Eukaryota, Metazoa, Chordata, Lepidosauria, Squamata, Lacertidae.
GUCUAGAUCCAGCCUCAGUUGGUUAGAGUGUGGUGCUGAUAAUGCCAGGGUUGCAGGUUGGAUUCCUGUAAGGGACA